UCCCCGUUGCCAGGGCAGUCUGAAUAGAAAAAUUCAACUAUUCAUAAGGGUUGCGCUCGUUGAUGGACUUAACCAAACAUCUCACGACAUGAGCUGACGACGGCCAUGCAACACCUGUCACCUUGCUCAAUAAAGCACUCUCGCCUUUCGGCAAAAUUCAAGGGAUGUCAAGCCCUGGUAAGGUUCUUCGCGUUGCUUCGAAUUAAAGAACACGAUCCACCGCUUGUGCGGGUCCCCGUCAAUUCCUUUAUGUUUUAGUCUUGCGACCGUACUCCACAGGCGGGAUACUUAACGCGUUAGCUUCGCUACUGAAGGGGUCGAUACCUCCAACAGCUAGUAUCCAUCGUUUACGGCGUGGACUAC
RNAcentral lists this unclassified non-coding RNA (363 nucleotides) under uncultured bacterium. RNAcentral's name for it is "contains 16S-23S intergenic spacer region". The record is from RNAcentral.